GAUGAACGCUGGCGGCGUGCCUAAUACAUGCAAGUCGAGCGAACAGACGAGGAGCUUGCUCCUCUGACGUUAGCGGCGGACGGGUGAGUAACACGUGGAUAACCUACCUAUAAGACUGGGAUAACUUCGGGAAACCGGAGCUAAUACCGGAUAAUAUAUUGAACCGCAUGGUUCAAUAGUGAAAGACGGUUUUGCUGUCACUUAUAGAUGGACCCGCGCCGCAUUAGCUAGUUGGUAAGUUAACGGCUUACCAAGGCAACGAUGCGUAGCCGACCUGAGAGGGUGAUCGGCCACACUGGAACUGAGACACGGUCCAGACUCCUACGGGAGGCAGCAGUAGGGAAUCUUCCGCAAUGGGCGAAAGCCUGACGGAGCAACGCCGCGUGAGUGAUGAAGGUCUUCGGAUCGUAAAACUCUGUUAUUAGGGAAGAACAAAUGUGUAAGUAACUAUGCACGUCUUGACGGUACCUAAUCAGAAAGCCACGGCUAACUACGUG
This 497-nucleotide ribosomal RNA is filed under the name uncultured bacterium. RNAcentral describes it as "partial 16S ribosomal RNA". It matches the Rfam family "Bacterial small subunit ribosomal RNA", at positions 28 to 507 of the family's 1533-position model. The record is from RNAcentral.